RNAcentral lists this long non-coding RNA (521 nucleotides) under Macaca mulatta (Rhesus monkey). Its description in RNAcentral is "lncRNA (ENSMMUG00000054472.1)". Lineage: Eukaryota; Metazoa; Chordata; Mammalia; Primates; Cercopithecidae. The record is from RNAcentral.
GGAAUGCCAGUCACCGGGCUUUCAGGAUGAUGAGGAGAGAAAGUCUGUCCUGACAGAGGCCCCAUGACACCUGCCCUGGGCCAGGAUGUUUGGGGGAGGGGAGAUUGCACGGGCAUUGGGCCGUCCUCACUCCUUCUGUCUGGAGGUGUGGGGCCAGGGGCUUCUGUGAAAGAGGCCAUAAAUGGACCCAGCCAGGAGAUCCAGGGGACAAAGGCAUCUGCUGGCCCAGGCACCUGCAGGCCCUGGCAGCUCCGUCUCCUUGAUUUCCCGUUCACACCCUUUGCUGUUCUUUACUCAGGACCUGAAGCCCGUGGACCACAAUGGGCUGUCAGACCCCUGUGUCAAGCUGCACCUGCGGCCAGGAGCCAGGAGGAAGGCAAAUAAGCUCAGAACAAAACUCUCCGUAACACUGUGAACCCCGCGUGGAACAAAACCCUCAUUUCCUAUAGGAUCACAGGUGAAGACAUGACCCACAAGACCCUGCAGUGGGUGAGGGCCCUCGGCUGCCUGCUCCCUCCCCA